Molecule: transfer RNA, 77 nt
Filed under: Cloacibacillus sp. An23
Lineage: Bacteria; Thermotogati; Synergistota; Synergistia; Synergistales; Synergistaceae
Description: tRNA-Arg
Rfam family: tRNA
About the family: Transfer RNA (tRNA) molecules are approximately 80 nucleotides in length. Their secondary structure includes four short double-helical elements and three loops (D, anti-codon, and T loops). Further hydrogen bonds mediate the characteristic L-shaped molecular structure. tRNAs have two regions of fundamental functional importance: the anti-codon, which is responsible for specific mRNA codon recognition, and the 3' end, to which the tRNAs corresponding amino acid is attached (by aminoacyl-tRNA synthetases). tRNAs cope with the degeneracy of the genetic code in two manners: having more than one tRNA (with a specific anti-codon) for a particular amino acid; and 'wobble' base-pairing, i.e. permitting non-standard base-pairing at the 3rd anti-codon position.
Source: RNAcentral
GGACCCGUAGCUCAGAUGGAUAGAGCGACUGCCUCCUAAGCAGUAGGCCAUCGGUUCAAUUCCGGUCGGGCCCGCCA